UUGUUGCUCGGAUUUUCUGCUUAUGCUAAUGGUUAGUGAUGUGUUUACUCUUUGCAUUCUUUUUUUGUAUAAUUUUUUAUAGCAUGACAUCCUAUCUUCCCUCUUACAUGAUUGUCUUUGGUAGUUGCUUUGCUCUGUUCUUAUUUUCUCUUUUAUUGCUCCGUUCCUUCGAAGCCUCUUCUUGGUUUUGCUCUUCUUGAUACAGAUUGGUCAGGUGAGCUUUUUCUUUUACUGAACUAUCUCAUCUAUAAUGCUGUUUAUUCCAAUAUGUUUUUUUGGUCGAUCAUUCGUGGACUAACUCAGCUUUACUUACUUUGUUUAUGGGUGUUUUAUAUUUUGCCGUUGCAUUAAGGUAAGCCUAUUUUAAAUUUCCUGUCUUCUUUGAUUCUUUAUUCUACCUUUCAUUUAUCCAUUAUUUGUUCUUAUUUGUGUUCUGCCUUUUUCCCCUGUUUUCCCUUUACAUUUUGCAUGAGCUUUCUUCGUCUGUGGUUGCUGUAAGGAACUUUCUUUCUUUGUCACUAGACACUUGCAAAUUGGACUGUUCUGUGAGCCACCGAAUGUUUUGCUUCCACUCAAAAGAGUGACAAUAAUUGUGCUUUUUCUUCAAUGGUUGGGCCUAUUUUCCACCUUGCCUAACCUUUUAAACUAUACCUGCUUCUUUGACUUUGCCGUCGAUUUUCCUUCUUGUUCGUAUGGUGUUAGGAGCUGUUUUUCUUCUCAGAAGGUGAUGGGAUUUGGUGGAUGACGAGCUCAAGAAGGUAAGGGGCUAGUAAUCUUCUGUCUUGGUUACUCUUUCCAUUUUUCUCUUUUUUCUUCAUCUCCCUUUUCCCUCCUACCUCUCUCGAGUAAUAAUAGUUAGUUUCUUCUAUUUUUUUGCCUUUUUUUCCCUAAUCUUUUUUUUCCUUUGCUAAAAGCAACAAAUCAUUUUCUCCUCUCCUCUGCGUCUCUGUUUGUUAUGUUCUCAGAUAUUUUGCUAUUAAGAAAACUUCAUUUUUUUUGGGCUUUGUAAUCACUGAAUCUCCACUAUACUUAAUUUUCUGACAUGCUUCAUUUUUUCCCAUCUUUUAAGGAUUUAGCUUGCAUGUUUCAUCAAUAAAUAUUUUCAUCAUUUUAAUCUGGACUUGGAUAAUAGCUACAUUUUUUGUCCAUUUUUUCCUUUUGUUAGGUGGGAAAAGAUGAUGAAGAUUGGAGAUGAAUUGAUGAUG
RNAcentral lists this long non-coding RNA (1205 nucleotides) under Coffea arabica (coffee). Its description in RNAcentral is "long non-coding RNA (CARA_LNC004385)". The record is from RNAcentral. Lineage: Eukaryota; Viridiplantae; Streptophyta; Magnoliopsida; Gentianales; Rubiaceae.